This 2044-nucleotide ribosomal RNA is filed under the name seawater metagenome. Its description in RNAcentral is "bacterial LSU rRNA". It matches the Rfam family "Bacterial large subunit ribosomal RNA", at positions 847 to 2925 of the family's 2925-position model. The record is from RNAcentral.
AGCUGGUUCUCCUCGAAAUGCGUUGAGGCGCAGCGGUUGAUUAUGGACUUCUAGGGGGUAAAGCGCUGUCUCGGUGCGGGCUGCGAAAGCGGUACCAAUCUGUUGCAAACUCGGAAUACCUAGAACGCUUUCAAUCGGCCAGUGAGACUGCGGGGGAUAAGCUCCGUAGUCAAGAGGGAAACAGCCCAGACCACCAGCUAAGGCUCCUAAAUAAAAGCUAAGUGGCAAAGGAGGUGAAAAUGCAGUGACAAUCAGGAGGUUUGCCUAGAAGCAGCCACCCUUUAAAGAGUGCGUAAUAGCUCACUGAUCAAGCGUUUUCGCGCCGAAAAUGACCGGAACUAAGUUUUUUGCCGAAGCUGUGGCUACAUCACAUAGAUGAUGUAGGGUAGAGGAGCGUUCCGUCCAGGGGGAAGCCAAGCGCGUAAGCCGCGGUCGACAGGACGGAAGUGAGAAUGUCAGAUUGAGUAACGUAAACAUUGGUGAGAAUCCAGUGCCCCGAAAACUCAAGGGUUCCUGCGCAAGGCUCGUCCGCGCAGGGUCAGUCAGGACCUAAGGUGAGGCCGAAAGGCGUAAUUGAUGGCAAGAAGGUUUAUAUUCCUUCACUAGUCUAGGCUUAGUCCUGAGGGACGAACAAAUAACACUCGGCACAACGGCCACACUUGGCAGUAUGGAUAAACCCGUUGCUGUUUGAUGCUAUUUAUUCCAAGAAAAGCUCAUUCGACUUUGAGUCUAGAUUACCUGUACCGUAAACCGACACAGGUGAGUGGGUUGAAUAAACUAAGGGGAGCGAGAUAACUCUCUCUAAGGAACUCGGCAAAUUGGCUCUGUACCUUCGGAAGAAAGAGUGCCCCUCAGGGGGCCGCAGUGAAGAGAUCCAGGCGACUGUUUACCAAAAACACAGGUCUCCGCAAAGUCGUAAGACGACGUAUGGGGGCUGACACCUGCCCAGUGCCAGAAGGUUAAAGAAGUUGGUCAAUCUAUGAUGAAGCUAACGACUGAAGCCCUGGUGAACGGCGGCAGUAACUAUAACUGUCCUAAGGUAGCGAAAUUCCUUGUCGGGUAAGUUCCGACCCGCACGAAAGGUGUAACGAUCUGGAUACUGUCUCAGAGAGAGACUCGGUGAAAUAAAACUAUCUGUGAAGAUGCGGAUUACCUGCACACGGACAGAAAGACCCUAUGAAGCUUUACUGUAACCUGGAAUUGCUCUCAAGCUUAUCUUGCGCAGCUUAGGUGGGAGGCUAUGAACCUUUUCUUCUGGGAAGAGGGGAGCCAUCAGUGAGAUACCACUCUUGGUAAGCUAGAGCGCUCAGUCUUCACCGUCAUCCGGUAAGACGACAGUUUCAGGCGGGCAGUUUGACUGGGGCAGUCACCUCCCAAAAGGUAAUGGAGGUGUGCAAAGGUUCCCUCAGGCUGGACGGAAAUCAGCCAUAGAGUGUAAAAGCAAAAGGGAGCUUGACUGCGAGACUGACAUGUCAAGCAGAGACGAAAGUCGGCUUUAGUGAUCCGACGGUGCUGUGUGGAAAGGCCGUCGCUCAACGGAUAAAAGUUACUCUAGGGAUAACAGGCUAAUCUCCCCCAAGAGUUCACAUCGACGGGGAGGUUUGGCACCUCGAUGUCGGCUCGUCGCAUCCUGGAGCGGAAGUACGUUCCAAGGGUUGGGCUGUUCGCCCAUAGAAAGCGGCACGCGAGCUGGGUUCAGAACGUCGUGAGACAGUUUGGUCCAUAUCCUGUGUAGGCGUUUAGAGCAUUGAAAGGAUCUCCCCUUUGUACGAGAGGACCAGGUGGGGACAGACCGCUAGUGUACCAGUUAUCCCACCAGGGGUAAACGCUGGGUAGCUAUGUCUGGAGUAAAUAACUGCUGAAAGCAUAUAAGUAGGAAGUUCACCUUAAGAUGAGUGCUCUUUUGUCUCAACCGUUCAGUUUUACUGACAAAUGAAAGACAAGGAAGGUCACGGCAAGACGAGCCGUUUGAUAGGCAUGAAGUAGAAGUGCAGUAAUGCAUUCUGAAGCUGACAUGUGCUAAUAGACCGAGGGAUUUGAUUUU